GCGUAUGCAUCCUGAGUCAGCUACUUCCUAGCUGAGACUGGGCAGUUAUUUAACCUCUGUAAGCCUCAGUUUCCUCACAGUCAAGUGGGGAUAAUAAAAGUACUUAUCUUGUAGGAUUGUAAUAAUGAUGAAAUGGCAUAAUUCAUGUUAUGAGCUAGACACAAUGUUCACAGUCAGCAAAGAUUAGGUGUUGUUAUUAUUAUUAAAUAUUGCUGCUGUCCCAUGGAUUGGGGAAUAUGAAAAUUAUAUUUUAUACCACACACCAAAUUUAAUUCACAAUUACCCGUGGGAUCUUUCAGUUUUCUUCCUGAAGUUUCUACGUGGCAUUCCCGUGCCUCAGUUCACUUUUUAGCUCUCUUGCCUCACACAGGCUCUUAAAUCUUCCCUGUUGCCUGAGUAAUUCAGUUCUUUCCAAAAGUGCUUUUCCAGUUAACAAAAUAAAGACAGGAGAAUCACCUAACCUGCCUUUCAUAGAAACCAGUUUGGCGCAUGUUCAGUAAUACUUCAAGCAUGUGCCUUGUGGGGACUUGCCCUUUUACCUUGUGUUGCUUAAAUGACCCUUUCAUCCCCACCCCCACCUACUGUCCUUCCCUCACCACUCUUCUCCUUUCUAAAGAAGGAAUUCUACUACUGUGAGCAAUAUGAUUUCUCCAGUGGUAGAAAUAUUAUUCUCCUCAACAGGCAGAAGAUUUAGCUUUGGCAUAUAUAUUCUAUGUAAUUGCAUUGUUUGGUUGUACCUUUAAGGUCUCAGAUCACACACCGGAAGAAGGCCUGUUACUUUUGGAGGAACUUACUGACCAAAGGUAGUUCAUGGCCAUAGAAGAUGUAUCUACCCAUGGAAAUGAAGAAAUGUAUUAGAGCUUCCAGUGCUUUUUCUGGAAUAUCUACUCUGUAGUCUCUGCAGUGGCACUCCCAUUGGCUCUAACAAAUUGUUCUCAAGGUCAAGAAUGGCCUCAUGCAAUUUGUUAAAUCCCGAGCACUUCCGAGAAUCAAAAUCAAAUCAAAGUGCAGAUAUGGAAGGUCCUGGAGGGAAAAGACAUAAUGAAUGUGAAACGAGAUUCCACAGUGAGGAGAACCAAGGCCUGGGCACUGCAUUGCAGUAGAAGAACUACCCAGUCAACCCACAGAAUUAUUUUCUUGGUGUCCUCAGUAGAUGGAUUGUUCUGAAAGUCAGUAGGCUGCCAAUGUUAGAAACAUAAGUCUACGAAGACUAAUGAAGUAAAGCUGGAGAGAGCCUGCAGAACUACCAACAAAUCUGGACUUGAAGAAAACUUCAAGGUACCUGAGGUCAACUACGGUCUGGAAGCAGAUGAUCCUUUUCCUGACAUAUCAUCAUCAUAAAGUCAGCCUAACUUUAUGUCACAAGCCUGUCAUUCACCUCACUUCGCUUCAUCAGUUACCGGCUGUCAACCACAGUCUGGAAGCAGAUGAUCCUCCUACUGACAUAUGGUCGGAAAGUCGAUAGUACCCGAAAACUACAUCAUCCUGCUUACAUCAUUCACCUCACUUCACCUCAUCAGGUAGGCAUUUUAUUAUUUCACAUCAUCCCAAGAAGAAAGGUGAGUGCAGUACAAUAAGAUUUUGAGAGAAAGAGACCACAUUCACAUAACUUUUAUUACAGUAUAUUGUUAUAAUUAUUCUAUCCAUUACUAGUUAUUGUUCUUAAUCUUUUACUGUGCCUAAUUUAUAAA
Molecule: long non-coding RNA, 1691 nt
Organism: Felis catus (domestic cat)
Lineage: Eukaryota; Metazoa; Chordata; Mammalia; Carnivora; Felidae
Exons: 6
Source: RefSeq, a predicted model, not a curated record